GCCUUCGGGAGCUCUGAGACAGGUGCUGCAUGGCUGUCGUCAGCUCGUGUUGUGAAAUGUUGGGUUAAGUCCCGCAACGAGCGCAACCCUUAUCCUUUGUUGCCAGCGAUUCGGUCGGGAACUCAAAGGAGACUGCCGGUGAUAAACCGGAGGAAGGUGGGGAUGACGUCAAGUCAUCAUGGCCCUUACGAGUAGGGCUACACACGUGCUACAAUGGCGCAUACAAAGAGAAGCGACCUCGCGAGAGCAAGCGGACCUCAUAAAGUGCGUCGUAGUCCGGAUCGGAGUCUGCAACUCGACUCCGUGAAGUCGGAAUCGCUAGUAAUCGUGGAUCAGAAUGCCACGGUGAAUACGUUCCCGGGCCUUGUACACACCGCCCGUCACACCAUGGGAGUGGGUUGCAAAAGAAGUAGGUAGCUUAACCUUCGGGAGGGCGCUUACCACUUUGUGAUUCAUGACUGGGGUGAAGUCGUAACAG
This 478-nucleotide ribosomal RNA is filed under the name Pantoea sp. W22M1. RNAcentral's name for it is "bacterial SSU rRNA". It matches the Rfam family "Bacterial small subunit ribosomal RNA", at positions 1016 to 1494 of the family's 1533-position model. The record is from RNAcentral. Lineage: Bacteria; Pseudomonadati; Pseudomonadota; Gammaproteobacteria; Enterobacterales; Erwiniaceae.